RNAcentral lists this ribosomal RNA (253 nucleotides) under uncultured bacterium. RNAcentral describes it as "partial 16S ribosomal RNA". It matches the Rfam family "Bacterial small subunit ribosomal RNA", at positions 524 to 776 of the family's 1533-position model. The record is from RNAcentral.
UACGUAGGGCGCGAGCGUUGUCCGGAAUCAUUGGGCGUAAAGGGUGCGUAGGCGGCGCGGUAAGUCGGGUGUGAAAUCUCGGAGCUUAACUCCGAAACUGCAUUCGAUACUGCCGUGCUUGAGGACUGGAGAGGAGACUGGAAUUUACGGUGUAGCGGUGAAAUGCGUAGAUAUCGUAAGGAAGACCAGUGGCGAAGGCGGGUCUCUGGACAGUUCCUGACGCUGAGGCACGAAGGCCAGGGGAGCAAACGGG